GGGUACGGGCAGACUAGAGUGCGGUAGGGGAGAUUGGAAUUCCUGGUGUAGCGGUGGAAUGCGCAGAUAUCAGGAGGAACACCGAUGGCGAAGGCAGAUCUCUGGGCCGUAACUGACGCUGAGGAGCGAAAGCAUGGGGAGCGAACAGGAUUAGAUACCCUGGUAGUCCAUGCCGUAAACGUUGGGCGCUAGAUGUAGGGACCAUUCCACGGUUUCUGUGUCGCAGCUAACGCAUUAAGCGCCCCGCCUGGGGAGUACGGCCGCAAGGCUAAAACUCAAAGGAAUUGACGGGGGCCCGCACAAGCGGCGGAGCAUGCGGAUUAAUUCGAUGCAACGCGAAGAACCUUACCAAGGCUUGACAUAUACCGGUAACGGCCAGAGAUGGUCGCCCCGCAAGGUCGGUAUACAGGUGGUGCAUGGUUGUCGUCAGCUCGUGUCGUGAGAUGUUGGGUUAAGUCCCGCAACGAGCGCAACCCUCGUUCUAUGUUGCCAGCACGUUAUGGUGGGAACUCAUAGGAGACUGCCGGGGUCAACUCGGAGGAAGGUGGGGAUGACGUCAAAUCAUCAUGCCCCUUAUGUCUUGGGCUUCACGCAUGCUACAAUGGCCGGUACAAAGGGCUGCGAUACCGUAAGGUGGAGCGAAUCCCAAAAAGCCGGUCUCAGUUCGGAUUGAGGUCUGCAACUCGACCUCAUGAAGUCGGAGUCGCUAGUAAUCGCAGAUCAGCAACGCUGCGGUGAAUACGUUCCCGGGGCCUUGUACACACCGCCCGUCAAGUCAUGAAAGUCNGGUAACACCCGAAGCCAGUGG
This 808-nucleotide ribosomal RNA is filed under the name Frondihabitans sp. RNAcentral's name for it is "bacterial SSU rRNA". It matches the Rfam family "Bacterial small subunit ribosomal RNA", at positions 628 to 1433 of the family's 1533-position model. Lineage: Bacteria; Bacillati; Actinomycetota; Actinomycetes; Micrococcales; Microbacteriaceae. The record is from RNAcentral.